CAGUCGCCGCGGGAAAACGUAGGUGGCAAGCGUUGUCCGGAAUUAUUGGGCGUAAAGGGCUCGCAGGCGGUUUCUUAAGUCUGAUGUGAAAGCCCCCGGCUCGACCGGGGAGGGUCAUUGGAAACUGGGAAACUUGAGUGCAGAAGAGGAGAGUGGAAUUCCACGUGUAGCGGUGAAAUGCGUAGAGAUGUGGAGGAACACCAGUGGCGAAGGCGACUCUCUGGUCUGUAACUGACGCUGAGGAGCGAAAGCGUGGGGAGCAAAUGGGAUUAGAUACCCCUGUAGUCCCUGUCUCUUAUCC
Molecule: ribosomal RNA, 301 nt
Filed under: uncultured bacterium
Lineage: Bacteria
Description: partial 16S ribosomal RNA
Rfam family: Bacterial small subunit ribosomal RNA
Source: RNAcentral